GCUGGGACAGCUCAGCCAGUAGAGCAUGACACUCUGAACCUCAGGGUUGUGGGUUCAAGCCCUGCGUUGGGCA
Molecule: non-coding RNA, 73 nt
Organism: Podarcis lilfordi (Lilford's wall lizard)
Lineage: Eukaryota; Metazoa; Chordata; Lepidosauria; Squamata; Lacertidae
Source: the annotation of a GenBank genome assembly